GAAUGAUUAGCUCAGUUGGUAGAGCAUCGGAUUCCAGACCCGAAAGUCAUAGGUUCAAGUCCUGUAUCGUUCA
Thalassiosira oceanica is the source of this 73-nucleotide transfer RNA. It matches the Rfam family "tRNA". From Rfam's summary of the family: Transfer RNA (tRNA) molecules are approximately 80 nucleotides in length. Their secondary structure includes four short double-helical elements and three loops (D, anti-codon, and T loops). The record is from Rfam. Lineage: Eukaryota; Bacillariophyta; Thalassiosirophyceae; Thalassiosirales; Thalassiosiraceae.